This 1683-nucleotide long non-coding RNA is filed under the name Homo sapiens (human). RNAcentral describes it as "HSALNT0206956". Lineage: Eukaryota; Metazoa; Chordata; Mammalia; Primates; Hominidae. The record is from RNAcentral.
CACAGUGGCAGAUUUUCUUUAAUAGAUAUAUUUCAAACAGAUACAACAAAUUAAAAAAUCUAAUUCAUGGCAGGUAAACAUGGGUGCUCAAAAAGUUCCACAUAGACAUUUACACUUGGGCCAUCAGUAUUUCCCUCACAUUCCCUUUUGUUAAGUCCCAUCUUCGCAGUGGCAGUACAGGAGAAAUCUCCACCGUCACCGCACAAUCCACCAGGCGCAUUACCACCUGAAGUGAAGGUCUCAUCUCGAAGGUGCGCUCAGCCAUAAAAAGAAAACAUAUUACAGAAAGGAAAAAUAAGUGUGCUCUUCCCACCCGCAAAGCGGUCUCACCUUCAGUUCUAGCUUUCUUUACUCCAAAGUCUUCUGAGUCUUCCAAGCAUCUCUUUCGAUUUGUUCCCACACUAAUAUGAUUAGGAAAUACAUUCUGAUGACCCCCAUUUAAGAUGCCAUUGUUAUAGAAAUGGUUCAGAUGACAAUUCUGGAGGUUCAAGAGAAACUGGGCACACUCUUGGAAACCCUGGGUUUGUGCAAUGUCUGCUGCUGUCAGGCCACUGGCAUUUCUCAGGCUGUACAACACAAAAACACUGAAUUACACCCCAUCCGCGUGCUAACCUGGUCUCUGCUCCUGCUGAACUGACUAGCUAUCUGAAGGUGGUAUGAAAGAGUAAACAAAUUCAUAGCAAAUCUUCAUUAAAGAAGUAGUUAAUCAAUCUAGCUCUGUAACUAACUUCUCUUAUAUACAUUUGAUUUCUAAGCAAGAUUUGGGAGAUAAACUAAAUAUGCUAAACUUCUAAAAAAGGCAUCUUCCUAUUUAACUUCUCAAAAUCAUGUUUUAUGUUAGUCUGAAGAAUCUAAAUUUACGCUAACUUCAGACUUGAAACUGAAUUCUAUAUUAUAUGCACUUAAUUUUAAUACCCAUUCCUUUAGCGUGAAUAAAAUCAUAACAAACAACAUGUACUGAGAUUGUCCAUGGCAUUCAUAACUGUCUUCCUAAAAACAAAGCAAUGGCUCACCAACGAGCCAGCCUUCAUGCUUACAUGUGACACUGUAAGUGGAAGUUUAGAAGGAUGUCCUGACAUUAAAAAGUAGCCUAUCAUCAGAUUCCAGAGCUGAACAGCUGUGUUUUUCUGUCAGAUUUUGAUUGUUUUGGCCUUGCUUGGGAAAACCUGCAGGAGUAUUGUAUUUUUGGCAUUGUAGAGCAUUUGAGUAGUUGGUUCCUUUAAAAAGGCUUUGAAUACUGUCCUAAAAACUCAUCCCUACCACUCACAAGAACCAAAGUUUUACCUGGCUAAUAGUACUAAAAAGGAAAGGUCUGAGACCUCUACAGUAGCUAAAACUCAGAUUCAAGUAGGAAGUGAUGGCAGAGUAAGUGAAAGAGCUGAAUAAAAUAGAGUAAGUUGAACUUGUAAACCUUUAGACACUGAAUUAAAACUGAGGGAUCAAAAGUAACUCCAUGUUGAAGUUCCCCUGGAAGACAAGAAUGUACACUGCUCUGUGAAAUAAACCUGUAAAAAAGCAGACAUCCUGUUAGCUGCAGGUUGAUAAACAAACGGGAGAAGUACUUAACAGCAAAGACAGCUUCCAUACCUGUUCAGCAAGCUACACUACAUCCACAGCAAAAGCAUGAUGAAAUCAAGGCCUUGUGCUGUGUCACUCAAACAACCACUCCAGAACCCUGAUGCC